RNAcentral lists this unclassified non-coding RNA (465 nucleotides) under Hevea brasiliensis (rubber tree). The record is from RNAcentral. Lineage: Eukaryota; Viridiplantae; Streptophyta; Magnoliopsida; Malpighiales; Euphorbiaceae.
CAAAAUCCUCUUCAUCUUCUUCAUGUUCAUCAUCUUCAUCAUCCUCCUCAUACACAUAUUUUCACAUAUUAACAAUAAAGGUCAAGUCUCAACAUAUUUUCACAUAUUCACAAUAAACAAUAUGUCAAAAUCACAAAUUUAUACUAAAAAGAAAAGAAAAAGAAAAACAUUGCAGGGUAAGGACUAAGGAGAGAGCAUGAAAAGAAGAAAAUGAAAAAUUGCAGCUGCUGUAACAGUGCAGAAACCAGAACAGAGAGAGCAUGGCAUUGGCAGCCAAAAAAAAAAAAAAGAAGCAGAAACAGAAAGUGCAAUGCAGAAGAGAGAGCAUGGCAGUCCAAAAAAAAAAAAAAAAGAGAAGAAGUGCAGUGCAGAAACACUACAGCAGGGAGAGAGAGAGAGAGCAUUGCAGUCCAAAAAAAAAAAAAGAGAAGCAGAAACAGAAAGUGCAGUGCAGAAACACUACAG